GGAGUAUAGCUCAGUGGUAGAGCACAUGCUUGGCAUGCAUGAGGUCCUAGUUUCAAUCCCCAGUACCUCCA
RNAcentral lists this transfer RNA (71 nucleotides) under Camelus bactrianus (Bactrian camel). It matches the Rfam family "tRNA". From Rfam's summary of the family: Transfer RNA (tRNA) molecules are approximately 80 nucleotides in length. Lineage: Eukaryota; Metazoa; Chordata; Mammalia; Artiodactyla; Camelidae. The record is from Rfam by way of RNAcentral. RNAcentral also lists the same sequence under 2 other names.